Long non-coding RNA from Stegostoma tigrinum, 2101 nucleotides. RefSeq lists it as uncharacterized. NCBI's taxonomy places the organism in Eukaryota, Metazoa, Chordata, Chondrichthyes, Orectolobiformes, Stegostomatidae. The transcript is spliced from 3 exons. The record is from RefSeq and is a predicted model, not a curated record.
GACGGUCGCCAGCAGGCGCGAGGCGGGGCCGGUUCGCCAACGUCCCUUGGUUGGACGGUUCGAAUCUGCCGUUCGAAGUCAGUUAGGGUGAAGGAGGAGGAGGGGAGCCGAAAAACACGUUCCUCACCUCCCGCCGCCCGCUGACGAGAAGCUGGACUUACAGAAGUCAUGAGCAGUUCACACAGAAUGACUUUGAAUGGUCAACAUUCUGGUAUAAAAGAUAGAAGACAGCAAGACACCAGAUCUAACGGAAAGGGACAUGUGAGCAAAUCGAAAGACCUGGUCAUUGCCUUCAAGAAGCAAGGGGGAUGGCAUGCCUUACGUCAAUGGAGCUGAAUUGAGGACGGUUGAGAGUAUCCAGUUCCUAGGAGUGAUGAUCAAGAAAGUACAACAAUGCCUCUACUUCCUCAGGAGUUUAAGGAAAUUCGGCAUGGUUUGUAAAGACUCUCACUGAUUUUUAUAGAUGCACCACUAAAAGCAUUCUAUGCGGAUGCAUCUUGGCUCAGUACAGCAACAGCUGUGUCCAGGACCAUAAGAAACUACAGAGUUGUGAACACAGCCCAUUCCAUCACACAAGCCAACUUUCCAUCCACUGACUCCAUCUACACUUCUCACUGCCCUGGGAAGGCAGCCAACAUAAUCAAAGACCCCUUCCACCCCGGUUAUAAUCUUUUCCAACCUCUUCCGUUGGGCAGAAGGUACAAAAGCUUAAACCAAUGUACCAACAGAUUCAAGAACAGCUUCUUCUCGGCUGAAUGGACCUCUCAGAUUUUAAAUUUAAUAUUUAUCUCGCUUUUUGUGUACCUUCACUGCAGCCUUAACAUUGUAUUCUUCGCUCUGAUCUAUUACCCUAAUUCACUUUGUACGGUAUGAUCUGCCUGUACUGCACCAAAACAAAACUUUUCAUUGUACCUAGGUACGUGUGACUGUAAUAAAUCAAAAAUCAAAAUCAGGGUUAUAUUGGAGUAGAAUUUAGCUACUUCUAAUGGCCCACAGUGCCUCGCUGAUACCAGAUUGAGUACUAAAUCUGUUUCAAGACUAUACCAUUUCAGAUGGUGACAGUACCACAAAGACAAUGGUUGGUAUUCUCAAUAUGAAGAUGGGAUUUUGUUUCCACAAGGACAUAUGCAUCUUCAACAGACAGAUUGGUGAGGAUGAGGUUAAGUAUGUUUUUCCCGUUUGUUGGUUCUCCUGCCAUCUGCUUUAGACCCAGUCUAGUAGCUAUGACACUGGACUAAUAAUGCAGGUUAAUGUUCUGGUGAAGUUUGAAUUGGGUAAAAAUCUGAAAUUAAAAAAACUAGCUAUUAUCAACCUUGUAAGCACUGUCAAUUGUCAUAAUAACCCAUCUGUUCUUCUGACAUUACUAAUGUCCAUUAGGAAAGAAAAUCUGUCUCUGUGACUCUAAACCCACAGCAAUGUGGUGGACUCUUAACUGCCCACUGAGCAAUUAGAAAUGAGCAACAAAUAAUUGACUGGUGAUGGUGCUGCUGAGCCACCCUUGAUGAUGGACACCAAAGUUCUCUAUACCUCGUGCUUCUUCAAUGUAUUGUUCAACAUGGAGGAUUAUUGAAUCAUUUGCUAAGGGAGUGUGGUACAAGGUAAUUAGCAGGAGGUUUGCCCACCCAUGUUUGACCUGAUGUCAUGAGACUUCAGAUUGCAGACUCCCAAGACAACUCCUUAUCCUCCUUUCACAGAAUCGUGCAGUGCAGAAGAGGCCCUUUGGCCUAUCAAGUCUGCACCAAUCAAAAAACUACUGUAAAUCUAUUAAUCCUACUUUCCAUCAUUUGGCCUCUAGCUUUGUAUGUUGUGACAUUUGAAAUGCUCGUGCAAGUACUUUAUAAAUGCUGUGAGGUUUUCUGCCUCAACUACACUCCAGAGAGUGCAUUCCAGACCCCACCCACCCUCUGGGUGAGAAUCAUUUUCCCGAAAUCCCUCCAAACCUCCUACUUUAAAUUGGUUUUGACCCUCAACUAAUGGAACAGCUGCUUUCUAUCUAUCCUGGACAUGCCCCUCAUAAUUUUAUGCACCACAAUCAGGUCACCUCUCAGCCUUCUCUGUUCCAAAGAAAACAACCCAAGCUUAUGCAGCUUCUCUUCAGAGC